Molecule: unclassified non-coding RNA, 288 nt
Filed under: uncultured fungus
Lineage: Eukaryota; Fungi
Description: partial contains small subunit ribosomal RNA, internal transcribed spacer 1, and 5.8S ribosomal RNA
Rfam family: Eukaryotic small subunit ribosomal RNA (bases 1-73)
Source: RNAcentral
GCAAACUUGGUCAUUUAGAGGAAGUAAAAGUCGUAACAAGGUUUCCGUAGGUGAACCUGCGGAAGGAUCAUUAUCGAGUUUGGUGUCCUUCGGCACCCGCUCCACCCAUUGUGUACCUGUCUUGUUGCUUUGGCGGACCGGCGCCUGCUGCCCCCCCGGCUGCCGCUGGGGCGUGUCCGCCAGAGGCCCCCCUUGUAACUCUUGUGAAAUAUGCAAUCUGAGUACCUCCUUAAAAUCAAAACUUUCAACAACGGAUCUCUUGGUUCUGGCAUCGAUGAAGAACGCAGC